RNAcentral lists this ribosomal RNA (402 nucleotides) under uncultured bacterium. Its description in RNAcentral is "bacterial SSU rRNA". It matches the Rfam family "Bacterial small subunit ribosomal RNA", at positions 355 to 774 of the family's 1533-position model. The record is from RNAcentral.
UGGGGAAUCUUGCACAAUGGAGGAAACUCUGAUGCAGCGACGCCGCGUGAGCGAUGAAGCCCUUCGGGGUGUAAAGCUCUUUCGACGGGAACGAUAAUGACGGUACCCGGAGAAGAAGCUGCGGCUAACUACGUGCCAGCAGCCGCGGUAAUACGUAGGCAGCAAACGUUGUUCGGAAUUACUGGGCGUAAAGAGUGUGUAGGCGGUUUUGCAAGUUUGGUGUGAAAUCUCCCGGCUUAACUGGGAGGGUGCGCCGAAAACUGCAAGGCUCGAGUACUGGAGAGGAAAGCGGAAUUCCUGGUGUAGCGGUGAAAUGCGUAGAUAUCAGGAGGAACACUGGUGGUGUAGACGGCUUUCUGGACAGUCACUGACGCUGAGACACGAAAGCGUGGGGAGCAAACA